Molecule: ribosomal RNA, 465 nt
Filed under: uncultured Klebsiella sp.
Lineage: Bacteria; Pseudomonadati; Pseudomonadota; Gammaproteobacteria; Enterobacterales; Enterobacteriaceae
Description: bacterial SSU rRNA
Rfam family: Bacterial small subunit ribosomal RNA
Source: RNAcentral
CCUACGGGAGGCAGCAGUGGGGAAUAUUGCACAAUGGGCGCAAGCCUGAUGCAGCCAUGCCGCGUGUGUGAAGAAGGCCUUCGGGUUGUAAAGCACUUUCAGGGGGGAGGAAGGCGUUAAGGUUAAUAACCUUGUCGAUUGACGUUACCCGCAGAAGAAGCAACGGCUCACUCCGUGCCAGCAGCCGCGGUAAUACGGAGGGUGCAAGCGUUAAUCGGAAUUACUGGGCGUAAAGCGCACGCAGGCGGUCUGUCAAGUCGGAUGUGAAAUCCCCGGGCUCAACCUGGGAACUGCAUUCGAAACUGGCAGGCUAGAGUCUUGUAGAGGGGGGUAGAAUUCCAGGUGUAGCGGUGAAAUGCGUAGAGAUCUGGAGGAAUACCGGUGGCGAAGGCGGCCCCCUGGACAAAGACUGACGCUCAGGUGCGAAAGCGUGGGGAGCAAACAGGAUUAGAUACACCAGUAGUC